Molecule: unclassified non-coding RNA, 424 nt
Filed under: Hevea brasiliensis (rubber tree)
Lineage: Eukaryota; Viridiplantae; Streptophyta; Magnoliopsida; Malpighiales; Euphorbiaceae
Source: RNAcentral
GGACAAUAAUGUCCUAGUCUCUGUAUUACUUAGUUUCUGCCUUAGCUGCUUCUCCACUUUCUUGAAAAAACCAAGCUGAGUCUUAAGGUCUAUAACCAUUCCUUGAUAAGUUUCAACCAAAGCACCAGAGCAAAAUUAGCUCCAUACGUAAAUUGAUGAUUCCCGGGCUGAAGAUAUGGUGGAAUUAGUGACAACUUUAAAUAAUCAGCAAUAAAAUCUGGAAUUAUUCGGCCAUCAGAGAACCUUCCAGUAGGAUACUUGAAGAAUGUCAAGAAUGUCUCGCCAUAUGGCCAGAAAUUUGCCCGGCCGGCAGCAUUUUUGAGGUAGUUAUUAUUUCCAGAAUCAAAUAGUGAAUCUCCGAAGAUAAACAGAGAAGCAUGCUUCUCCGGAGACUGUACAUGGCUUUGUAUGCUAAUUGGAAUGA